This 468-nucleotide ribosomal RNA is filed under the name uncultured bacterium. RNAcentral describes it as "partial 16S ribosomal RNA". It matches the Rfam family "Bacterial small subunit ribosomal RNA", at positions 28 to 507 of the family's 1533-position model. The record is from RNAcentral.
GACGAACGCUGGCGGCGUGCUUAACACAUGCAAGUCGAACGGAAAGGCCCUGCUUUUGUGGGGUGCUCGAGUGGCGAACGGGUGAGUAACACGUGAGUAACCUGCCCUUGACUUUGGGGUAACUUCAGGAAACUGGGGCUAAUACCGGAUAGGAGCUCCUGCUGCAUGGUGGGUGCUGGAAAGAUUCGGCGGUUGGGGAUGUACUCGCGGCUUAUCAGCUUGUUGGUGGGGUAGUGGCUUACCAAGGCUUUGACGGGUAGCCGGCCUGAGAGGGUGACCGGCCACACUGGGACUGAGAUACGGCCCAGACUCCUACGGGAGGCAGCAGUGGGGAAUAUUGCACAAUGGGCGGAAGCCUGAUGCAGCAACGCCGCGUGCGGGAUGACGGCCUUCGGGUUGUAAACCGCUUUCGCCUGUGACGAAGCGUGAGUGACGGUAAUGGGUAAAGAAGCACCGGCUAACUACGUG